This 777-nucleotide long non-coding RNA is filed under the name Equus asinus (donkey). RNAcentral's name for it is "lncRNA (ENSEASG00005033950.1)". The record is from RNAcentral. Lineage: Eukaryota; Metazoa; Chordata; Mammalia; Perissodactyla; Equidae.
GUGGGCUUGGUAAGGAAUUCAGGCAUAGUCUCACAAAAUGUGUAAAAGUUAAACUGGACCAGCCCUUCCUCUACUGUGUAUGGGAGAAAGGAAUUGGCGUGUAAAGGCCAAAAAGAGAAAGCAUGGAUUGUCGUGUUUUGAAUGAGAGUUUGCACGUAUUUUGUAGAAGGGAUAGAGGAAAUUGGGGCAGCUGAAUCUGUUCAAUGUGGAACCUUGGGAGAAAAAUGGAUGAAGAAGAUUUUUAGAGAAAUUUUUGCUAUAUAUUGUUGGAUUUUAAAAAUGGAGUGCUCAAGUGCUUACAGAGAUUCAAACGUGCCGUCCAUUUGGACUUAUUCUCAUGGCAGCGUAAUAUGUUAUUGAUUAGUGGAGAGUCCAGAACGUGUGAUGCUCUUUGUAACUGCAGGCUGGUGGAUGACUUCUACGCAAAAUGACGACCAGAAUCAAAAGGUUUCUGAGAAGUAUUAAGACUGAAAACAAAAACCGUCCUACUGAACUGAAGAAAACAAAGCCGGUGAAUCCCAACUUGCGGGAAUCAAAGAGACCUUCCAGCUCCAGGCAGACCUCAUCCCAACUCCAGAGAAGACCACACUUCAGCUCUUGUCCAUAGGAGAAUCUCAACUAGAGAUGCCUAGAAGAAUGAGAAUCCACCUUGGACCUAUCACUUCAGAAAUGCUGAUUACACUACACUCAUCAGAAUCCAUGUAGAUGACUCAAAUUGUGCUACGGCACCCUCGUCUCAAAGUGAGGUGAGCUUUACAAAGCCGGGAAUGGAAUGGA